RNAcentral lists this ribosomal RNA (326 nucleotides) under Bothrops leucurus. Its description in RNAcentral is "partial 12S ribosomal RNA". Lineage: Eukaryota; Metazoa; Chordata; Lepidosauria; Squamata; Viperidae. The record is from RNAcentral.
CUUCACCACGCCCUAGAGGAGCCUGUCCAAUAACCGACGACCCACGAUUAACCCAGCCCCCCCUUGCCUACAGUCUAUAUACCGCCGUCGCCAGCCUACCUUGUGAAAGAAAUAAAGUAGGCCAAACAGUACCCACACUAAAACGACAGGUCGAGGUGUAACUCAUGAGGCGGACCCAGAUGGGCUACACUCUCACGCCCGAGAAUACGGAAAACACUACGAAAUUAGUCUUUAAAGGUGGAUUUAGCAGUAAGCUGGAAAUAAAACACCCGACUGAACAUAACGCAAUGAAGUGCGUACACACCGCCCGUCAUCCCUGCUAACAC